RNAcentral lists this unclassified non-coding RNA (355 nucleotides) under soil metagenome. RNAcentral describes it as "partial contains 5.8S ribosomal RNA, internal transcribed spacer 2, and large subunit ribosomal RNA". The stretch from base 1 to 120 matches the Rfam family "5.8S ribosomal RNA", at positions 35 to 154 of the family's 154-position model. The record is from RNAcentral.
GAUGAAGAACGUAGCGAAAUGCGAUAAGUAGUGUGAAUUGCAGAAUUCAGUGAAUCAUCGAAUCUUUGAACGCACAUUGCGCCUUCUAGUAUUCUGGGAGGCAUGCCUGUUUGAGCGUCAUUAAACCUCUCUCAAGUAUGAUUACUUGGAUGUGAAGGAAGAGUACCUUAAACUUAAGGAGUGUUCUCCUUUUAAAUUGAUUAGCAGAUGGUAAUGUUAUUAAAUCCCUGAUGUUGUAAGAAAUAACAGUGGUUUUGUAGACUAUUAUCUAGCUUUAAAUUAUAAUUUUUAUUAUGGUUGACCUCAAAUCAGGUAAGGAUACCCGCUGAACUUAAGCAUAUCAAUAAGCGGAGGA